Molecule: ribosomal RNA, 495 nt
Filed under: Veillonella parvula
Lineage: Bacteria; Bacillati; Bacillota; Negativicutes; Veillonellales; Veillonellaceae
Description: bacterial SSU rRNA
Rfam family: Bacterial small subunit ribosomal RNA
Source: RNAcentral
GACGAACGCGGCGGCGUGCUUAACACAUGCAAGUCGAACGAAGAGCGACGGAAGCUUGCUUCUAUCAAUCUUAGUGGCGAACGGGUGAGUAACGCGUAAUCAACCUGCCCUUCAGAGGGGGACAACAGUUGGAAACGACUGCUAAUACCGCAUACGAUCUAAUCUCGGCAUCGAGGAUAGAUGAAAGGUGGCCUCUACAUGUAAGCUAUCACUGAAGGAGGGGAUUGCGUCUGAUUAGCUAGUUGGAGGGGUAACGGCCCACCAAGGCGAUGAUCAGUAGCCGGUCUGAGAGGAUGAACGGCCACAUUGGGACUGAGACACGGCCCAGACUCCUACGGGAGGCAGCAGUGGGGAAUCUUCCGCAAUGGACGAAAGUCUGACGGAGCAACGCCGCGUGAGUGAUGACGGCCUUCGGGUUGUAAAGCUCUGUUAAUCGGGACGAAAGGCCUUCUUGCGAAUAGUGAGAAGGAUUGACGUACUGAAUAGAAAGCCACG